RNAcentral lists this long non-coding RNA (1495 nucleotides) under Macaca mulatta (Rhesus monkey). Its description in RNAcentral is "lncRNA (ENSMMUG00000057842.1)". Lineage: Eukaryota; Metazoa; Chordata; Mammalia; Primates; Cercopithecidae. The record is from RNAcentral.
GGGUGAGCUGGGAAAGCCAUGGGCUCAGUCUGUUUCAGUUGCUUAACCUAAAGUUACUUAAACCCAAUUUCAGGUCUUUUUUAUUUUUAUUUUUUUUAAUCUGUGAGAUGGGGUAACAUUAGCACUCAUAUCCUAUUCUGAGGAUUACCAAAGUUAACACUUGUUAAAGCAUGUUGAACAGUGCCUGGCUUAUGUUAAAUGCUGUUAAUGUAAGCUCUUAUUAUUAACCAUUGUUACCUUAUACGAGGGACUGCAGAGAAACAAACACAAACAUAUUCAGCUUCAUUCUGGACCUUUAACUCUGCCAAAACCCCUUCCUGUCUAGAGCAAUACUUCCCUUUCCCCUUUUCUUGUUUUUCUCAGUGCUGUGUCUGGUCUGUGACAUCAAAUAUUAUCCUGCAUAUAUGGCCACCAAGCCUGUAUUCUCCCAGAUAUAUAUAUAUAUCUGUUUCCACUUCCUGCUGUGCAGCAGUACCACCAAGAACCCUUCCCUUGGUUCUCAGCUGAUGUAUUUUGCUUUAAAUGAUAUACACAGACUGGCUAUUCGAAAACAGUUUCCACUUCCUGCUGUGCAGCAGUACCACCAAGAACCCUUGCCUUAUUUCUCAGCUUCAUGUAUUUUGCUUUAAAUGAUAUACACAGGCUGGCUAUUCGAAAAACAGUUUCCCCCGCCCCUCUUUGAAAUCAGUGCUGUGUUGAUAUUGAAAUUGAGGUACAUCUCAUCUGAGCAGUGCUUUGGUUAGUUUACCACUUAGAAUCAACUCAUCUUGUUCUAUGCUUUUGCCCAGGGCAGUAUCACACAACAUGUAGAAAAUUAAUAAAUGCAUAUUGAUAACUAUACUUACAGAAUGCUUCUAGUGAAUAUUUAGAAAGCUUACUAGGCCUAAAUCCAGGAGCUAAAAGGGGAAAAUUGUGUUUACUUUCAACGUAUGGACAGUGACUGUCCCAAUAGUGGCAGUUUGUAGCUUAAAAAAAUUGCGCCAAAAUUCUAGGAUUACAUUUUUCUUUUUUUUUCUUUUUUUUAAAAUUUAUUUAUUAUUAUUAUACUUUCUAAAGAAAAAUCUUCAAGAAGUUUUAAGAUCUUAUUAAUUGAAUUACCAGAAAGAUUAAAGCAUAGGAAAUUUCCUUUAAUCUGAUGUUCUAUGAAUCUUUAAAAUGUUCAUAUUUUUGCUCAGUUUAAUAUUGUUUGAAUAAAUCAAAGAAUAUUUUAUUAAAAUAAAGAUCGGCUCUGAAGAACAAAUUCAGUGCAAAGUACUUCAAAACUUACGAGAUAGUAAGGUAAUUUUUAUUGACAAGUAGCAUGGUAUAUUGUGGGAAGGCAGAUUUGGCAAGUCCACACAGUUAUAAUUCCAAGUAUGCAUUAAAAUAGCCACAGGAGAGGUAGGAUCAACAUGUUCUGAAUUGUCAAUGAAUGAGAAAUCUGAGUCAUAAGUGAAGUUUUCUCAUUAAGUUAUAGUAUGUUUAUAAAUUUCAAGACUGUGAUUUUAUAGUAGCU